Pongo abelii (Sumatran orangutan) is the source of this 148-nucleotide unclassified non-coding RNA. It matches the Rfam family "Metazoan signal recognition particle RNA". Rfam says of the family: The signal recognition particle (SRP) is a universally conserved ribonucleoprotein. It is involved in the co-translational targeting of proteins to membranes. The record is from Ensembl. NCBI's taxonomy places the organism in Eukaryota, Metazoa, Chordata, Mammalia, Primates, Hominidae.
GCCAGGCGUGGUGGUGCACGCCUGUAGUCCCAGCUACUUGGGAGGCUGAGGCAGGAGAAUUGCUUGAACUUGGGAGGCAGAGACUGCAGUGAGCCAAGAUUGCACCACUGCACUCCAGCCUGGGCAACAGAGCAAGACUCUGUCUCAA